Molecule: long non-coding RNA, 1080 nt
Organism: Micropterus dolomieu (smallmouth bass)
Lineage: Eukaryota; Metazoa; Chordata; Actinopteri; Centrarchiformes; Centrarchidae
Exons: 2
Source: RefSeq, a predicted model, not a curated record
GUGUGAUCUUCUGGAGAGUCCACACUGUAGACUGGAGACUCUGAGAUGGAAGUGAUCUCCGUCAGAGUGUGAGUGAUGAGAAAGGUAGUGGUGUUGAGAGGGGUUCAGUUGUGUCCUGACAAUCCAGAGAGGUUGAAGCAGCAGCAUCAGCUUGAGUGUGGAGAAGCUCUGACUGGGCCAUGUUACUGGGAGGUAGAGUGGAGGGGAGAGCUUCAUCCAGCGGUGACUGACAGAGGAAUCACAACAGUGCUGCAGCCUGAACUGCUCUGAGAUCAGCUCCACUGUCAGACACAAAGUCAAGUCCACCAUCAUCCCUGUGUGUUCCUCUGAAUGUGACAGAGUAUCAUCAGUGGAUCUGGACUGCUCUGCUGCUGCUCUGUCACAGUUUCUGCAGACACACUGAGACUCCUCCACUCCUUCUGCUCCACACUCAGCCAUCUCCUCCAGCUGGACCUGGACUUUAUUUUAAAAGUAAACAAAUAUAUAAUUCUGCACUAAUAAUAAUAUCAAUAAUAUCUGACCGAAAUAGUCUAUUUUACGAAAUAGUCUAUUUUAUCCCAACAGAUUGUGUUGUUGCAGAAAACUGAACUAAAGAACUGCAAAGUCUGGUGACACUUAUCUGCAGGUUUGUCACUAUGAAAGACCUCUUUCACUUUCACGUCGUUAUCUAAUCCAUUGUUAAUAUGAAAAUAUUGAUUAGAGUCGUUUUUAGUCACUGAUAUGUAUCUGGAUGUUAGUGAAAAGCCAGUGCUGUUUUAAACCUUGAUGACACACUGAACACCAGAACAUUUUAAUAACUUGUUAUAGGAUAUGUUUUUAUUUUGACAUUAAAUUAAUCAGCAAAAAAAUUAUAUGUAAGUACUAACUCUAAACUUUAGUGUCAUUAUUAGUGAUUAAGAUUAUUUACUUGUGUAUAUUUGUCCUGUUUUCUCAUUUCAGUUUAUAUUGUUGCAGAACGAACACAAAUCCUGAUAUUCAAAUCCCAUCUUCCUUCUCAUGUAAUGAAAACUUCCCUAAUCAUGCUAAUAUAAAUAUAAAUGUCCUGCAUGUUGGUGUAAAUAAAGCCCAGUUAUUGAAUUA